Molecule: small nucleolar RNA, 129 nt
Filed under: Sinocyclocheilus rhinocerous
Lineage: Eukaryota; Metazoa; Chordata; Actinopteri; Cypriniformes; Cyprinidae
Description: Small nucleolar RNA SNORA42/SNORA80 family (ENSSRHG00000039239.1)
Source: RNAcentral
GCAUGACUAUACUGGAGGCUGGACCUUCUCGUGGACCCGUCUUAUAUCAUGUCAUGCUAAAGCAAAGCUCCUCCGACCAUUGACGGGCCCAACUCAGUGGGCUUGAUCACUGAAGUGAGCAGAACAUGG